Molecule: ribosomal RNA, 465 nt
Filed under: uncultured bacterium
Lineage: Bacteria
Description: partial 16S ribosomal RNA
Rfam family: Bacterial small subunit ribosomal RNA
Source: RNAcentral
GACGAACGCUGGCGGCGUGCUUAACACAUGCAAGUCGAACGGAAAGGCCCUGCUUGCAGGGUACUCGAGUGGCGAACGGGUGAGUAACACGUGGGUGCUCUGCCCUGCACUUCGGGAUAAGCCUGGGAAACUGGGUCUACUACCGGAUAGGAGCCAUUUUUAGUGUGAUGGUUGGAAAGUUUUUUCGGUGUGGGAUGAGCUCGCGGCCUAUCAGCUGGUUGGUGGGGUAAUGGCCUACCAAGGCGGCGUCGGGUAGCCGGCCUGAGGGGGUGGACGGCCACGUGGGGGCGGGGAGACGGGCCCGGCGCCUACGGGGGGCGGCAGGGGGGAAGAUUGCGGAAUGGGGGCGAGCCUGAGGCGGGGAGGCCGCGUGGGGGAUGAGGGGCGUCGGGUUGGAAGCUCCGUUCGCUAGGGACGAGGCGGUUUGUGACGGUGCCUGGAUAAGAAGCACCGGCUAACUACGUG